This is a long non-coding RNA of Gadus macrocephalus (Pacific cod), 843 nucleotides long. RefSeq lists it as uncharacterized. The transcript has 2 exons. The record is from RefSeq and is a predicted model, not a curated record. NCBI's taxonomy places the organism in Eukaryota, Metazoa, Chordata, Actinopteri, Gadiformes, Gadidae.
UGACGUUGAGGUUGUGCGCUAGUUUGAGUUGUAAAACGUUAGUGAGUGGUUAUGGCAGAUCCAGAGUGGCACCGAGCAGAGACAAUAGUUUUAAACUCCAACAGUCAGCCGCCUUCGAGUAAGUUAACGUUUUUCAUUGGAGAAGAGGCCAGACUCUGCAAAUGAAAUGGAGUACGAGAGUCUGCUAGGGCCAGGCUAGCAGGGUUUCUCGUAAUGAAGAGUUUCGACUGGUUCCGUUCAGGCAGGGGUCUCAAACUCGCGGCCCGGGGGCCAAUUGAGGCCCACGGGAUGAUAUUUUGUGGCCCCCUACUUGACAUCAAAGUUUAGUGUUAGUGCGGCCCGCGCCCCGAUCAUUAACUUAGAUUGGGUAAGUUGUGGUCCUUUUUUUUGUGGAAUACUUGAUGGGGCCCAGCCUGACCCAGACUCUAUCUCCAGCGGCCCCCAGUUAAGGUGAGUUUGAGACCCCUGCGUUAAGGCGUUUAGCGAUUUUGAAUGUGCUCAGCAACAUUCUAUAGUAUUUGUGCAAUCGAAACAUUCGCAGGUAAGGAACAAGGGGGGAAGGCAGGCGGACGUGUUUCCAGGGGACCCACCUGGCACCCCAGCCUGCAUCCAGGGGCCGAUGUCGGUGCCCUCUCCGUGGGGCUCCAGCCGCGUCGUAUUCAGGGGGGCCAAGAGCUGGACCACCUCCUGCAUCACCUGCCAGCGCGCGCACGCGCACGCACACACACACACACACACACACACACACACACACACACACACACACACACACACACACACACACACACACACACACACACACACACACACACACACACACACACACACACACACACACACACA